Molecule: long non-coding RNA, 3063 nt
Filed under: Mus musculus (house mouse)
Lineage: Eukaryota; Metazoa; Chordata; Mammalia; Rodentia; Muridae
Description: long non-coding RNA chr3:98121587-98124650
Source: RNAcentral
AGAGGUGUUUGUCCAGUUAAAUCCUCUAUUUCUCUGCUUUUUUUUUUUAAGAUCUAUUUAUUUUAUGUAUAUGAGUACACUAUAGCUAUUAGCAGACACACCAGAAGAGGGCAUCGGAUCCCAUUACAGAUGGUUGUGAGCCACCAUGUGAUUGCUGGGAAUUGAAUUCAGAAACUCUGGAAGAGGUCAGUCAGUGUUCUUAACCGCUGAAUCAUCUCUCCAGCCCCGACAUCCUACAUUUCAGCAGCCAGACUUUACAGUAGCAGCUCAGGGCCUCAGCUCACACAGCUGAUGUUGUCUCUCAUUUGCUCCUCAGCUCCUGCUUCAAUGGCGGCACGUGUGUUGAUGGAAUCAACUCUUUCUCUUGCUUGUGCCCCGUGGGUUUCACUGGUCCCUUCUGCCUCCAUGAUAUCAAUGAGUGCAGCUCUAACCCGUGCCUGAAUGCUGGAACGUGUGUUGAUGGUCUGGGUACCUACCGAUGCAUCUGUCCCUUGGGCUACACCGGGAAAAACUGUCAGGUAAUCAGCCUCCCUCCCGUUCACCCGCUCACCUGGCUCCCCACAGUAGCCGAGGACUCUGUCUAGUUUCCAGGUGGGGUGAACCAUUUGAGAAGAGAGAACAGCAUCUCAGGUGGUCCCUGAGGUGGCUGGGUCACCUUCUUGAUAGCUAGAAGAGUCCAGACUGGUGACACCAGCAAUGCCAUAUGGGCUAACAAGCUUCUGUGGAAACUGUGACUGACAGUGAGCACGUACACACCUUCACAGUGCAUAUGCAGGAAGAAUGGAUGUGAGCUUUUCAUUGCUAACCUAAAAAACAAAACAACAGCAACUUAAUAGGAGGUUGGUUUGGGUUUGUGGUUUUAGAGAUUUUAGGCUUCACUGGCUUCUUUUGUUUAUGGACCUGAGACAAGAGUAAGUGUCAUUGGGACAGAGCCGGUGUAGAACUCUUCAUGGUGGCCUGAAGCAGAGAGGGACAGGAGAAGAGGAGGGGGAGGGAAGGGAAAAGACAAAGGAAGAGAGGGAGAGAGGAGGCAGGACAGACAGAUGAGGUAGGGAAAGCCAAGAACGAGAUGUAGCUCCCCCAGACAUGUACCCAGUGAGCCCUGUUUCCAGCUGGCAUUUCCUCUAGUUCUCAGAAUUGUUCAGAAGUAAUACCAUCUUUGAGAACUAAACCACUAGUGCACGAGCCUCUGAGGACAUUUCAUAUUCAAACACAGGACAGAACAAUCGAAGUCAAAUCAGUAAAUACCAGGGAGAGCCACCAGGGUACUGCUUUACAGUGUUAUAACAUAGCCAUCACCAAACUGUGUAUUCUUAAAACUCAAAUAUAGAAAUAUGAAUCUGUUAUAAUCUUAGGAUGGAAGAAGCCAUCAUAGGAAACUGACUUUCAAUUCAUGGAGGAGAAACAGCCUCCACCUUGUCCCCAGAAAGGAUAGUUUUUAAACUAUCCAAGGUCACAUACAAAUUGUAAUUUGUGCCGCUUUACAUCUUCUGUAAGAGUGACGGAACUCAGAGCUCAUGAAUACGAGACUAAUUAGAGACCACAUUGGAUGACACUGGACCCAGAAGCAGCCACCCCAGCCCCGCUCCCCACAUGAAGCAGCUUGGUCUUGCCCCAUCCUCCACUGACCAUCUCUCAGCCAGCAGCAGUCUGUGUCAGGAAGGCAGGCCCCUCUCUGCCUCAUGUUAUUUGUGAUCCUGGAGUUGAAAAUACGGUUGUGGACCGUUUAGGCUUUUGAGUUGGAUCAUUUCACCCAUCUCCCCCCAUAGGCAGGAGCGGUCAAGGCAUAUGUGGUCCUGCGGGGUUAACAUAGGAAGCAUGGGCCCAGGCAGCAGCUAUAGCUCUUGCCAGCCUUGCAAGGAGGCCACAUAUGCUCACAUAGUCAUGACUAAUGCUCUGGGGAUAACAGCUUACUGAGCCUCUAGAGUGGUUAGGUUCCUGAGGUAAGGGCUUUUAAAAUGACACUGGCCAGACAAACGAGGCUAUAAAGUGACAGAGUGUGUCUAGGACAGGGUGCCCAGUGAAGGCUUCUGUGAAGGCGUCCCUUUCUUUCUAAAACCAGUCCUUUCCUUUGACAUCUCGUGACACACUGUAACUUAGAGACUUCAUUUAUGGCAUCUGGGUUUUGAUGCAUGUACACCCUUGCCUCCGCUUCAGACCCUGGUGAACCUCUGCAGCCGGUCUCCGUGUAAAAACAAAGGAACUUGUGUUCAGGAAAAGGCAAGGCCCCACUGUCUGUGUCCGCCUGGAUGGGAUGGUGCAUACUGUGAUGUGCUCAACGUGUCCUGUAAGGCGGCAGCCUUGCAGAAAGGUGAGCUCUGCCCCAAGCAUCAGGUACUGACAUAUAGGCCAUCAUCUUAGGGCACAGUACUGAAAGGACAAGGGUCUGAAGAAAGGCUAGAGGAACAUUUAGAGAUCCCAAAGAGAAAGGUGGUUGAAAUGAAGAACUAGACACAGAUGAAGCAAACCCUAGAGCAGCCACCAGCCAGGCUCACUUGCUUUUGGGUUGAACCUGCCGUGGGCCGCACUCUCUGAUGCUUCUCUCUCCACCUGGUGCCCAGGAGUACCUGUUGAACACUUGUGCCAGCACUCGGGCAUCUGUAUCAAUGCUGGCAACACCCAUCACUGCCAGUGCCCCCUGGGCUACACGGGGAGCUACUGCGAGGAGCAGCUUGAUGAGUGUGCAUCCAAUCCAUGCCAGCACGGUGCCACCUGCAAUGACUUCAUCGGAGGAUACAGAUGUGAGGUGAGGAGAUGGCUUAGCCCAGAGGGCUCCAAUGACGUAGUGCCGGUGUUAAAAACACUGGCUACUGAGUUCAUCCGUCUGUGUCCUACAGAGUAUGAAUGUCUACUCGUCCUUAUCAUAGUGUUUGCAGCCAGCAUUUUUAUUUUCAGCCAUGCUUUCCCAUAGCUCUGGUAAGAUGUCUUCAUAGAGUCUGGACCAUCCCUCCUUAACUGGCUUGCUCUUUGUGUUGGCAUCCUGCAGGCUCACCUAGUACAGUAGUCCCCUUGCUUCCUGAAGAGCAACACAGUUCAUCAGCCAAUGAGUAAUUCUCUCACACC